This 158-nucleotide ribosomal RNA is filed under the name Claviceps aff. purpurea. Its description in RNAcentral is "5.8S ribosomal RNA". It matches the Rfam family "5.8S ribosomal RNA". Rfam says of the family: 5.8S ribosomal RNA (5.8S rRNA) is a component of the large subunit of the eukaryotic ribosome. It is transcribed by RNA polymerase I as part of the 45S precursor that also contains 18S and 28S rRNA. Lineage: Eukaryota; Fungi; Ascomycota; Sordariomycetes; Hypocreales; Clavicipitaceae. RNAcentral also lists the same sequence under 1 other name. The record is from RNAcentral.
ACUUUCAACAACGGAUCUCUUGGUUCUGGCAUCGAUGAAGAACGCAGCGAAAUGCGAUACGUAAUGUGAAUUGCAGAAUUCAGUGAAUCAUCGAAUCUUUGAACGCACAUUGCGCCCGCCAGUAUUCUGGCGGGCAUGCCUGUUCGAGCGUCAUUUCA